GAAUGUGAUAACAAUCUGGCUAUGGCAUCUGUCACCUCAUCAAUCACCAGAGCUGAUUUGGCUGAUCUAGCUGGCUAAGCAGGUAUCCCUUUCCUCACUCACUGCUUGAUUUGUGUCCCUGCUGAAGCCUCAAUCAAAAAAGACAGCCUUUCCCAGUAGUGAAGGGCAGCUCUUUGGUUAAGGGUAUAGGAAUGUCUGUGCUCCCCUGCUACAACCUCCAAACAUGUUAUCAAGGUUUAUUUGUAGUAGAACAUAGGGUAGUCAGGCUUCUAAGACUUCAGACACGUCUAAAUGAGGUAUUGCAGAUGGCAAUCUGCCUUUCUAA
This 325-nucleotide small nuclear RNA is filed under the name Cebus imitator (Panamanian white-faced capuchin). RNAcentral's name for it is "7SK RNA (ENSCCAG00000007565.1)". It matches the Rfam family "7SK RNA". From Rfam's summary of the family: 7SK was discovered as an abundant small nuclear RNA in the mid-70s but a possible function has only recently been suggested. Two independent studies have found that 7SK RNA binds the CDK9/cyclin T complex (known as elongation factor P-TEFb). P-TEFb activates transcription by phosphorylating the C-terminal domain of RNA polymerase II. The record is from Rfam by way of RNAcentral. Lineage: Eukaryota; Metazoa; Chordata; Mammalia; Primates; Cebidae.